UACCCCGAGGAAAAGAAAUCAACCGAGAUUCCCCCAGUAGCGGCGAGCGAACGGGGAGCAGCCCAGAGCCUGAAUCAGUGUGUGUGUUAGUGGAAGCGUCUGGAAAGGCGCGCGAUACAGGGUGACAGCCCCGUACACAAAAAUGCACAUGCUGUGAGCUCGAUGAGUAGGGCGGGACACGUGGUAUCCUGUCUGAAUAUGGGGGGACCAUCCUCCAAGGCUAAAUACUCCUGACUGACCGAUAGUGAACCAGUACCGUGAGGGAAAGGCGAAAAGAACCCCGGCGAGGGGAGUGAAAAAGAACCUGAAACCGUGUACGUACAAGCAGUGGGAGCACGCUUAGGCGUGUGACUGCGUACCUUUUGUAUAAUGGGUCAGCGACUUAUAUUCUGUAGCAAGGUUAACCGAAUAGGGGAGCCGAAGGGAAACCGAGUCUUAACUGGGCGUUAAGUUGCAGGGUAUAGACCCGAAACCCGGUGAUCUAGCCAUGGGCAGGUUGAAGGUUGGGUAACACUAACUGGAGGACCGAACCGACUAAUGUUGAAAAAUUAGCGGAUGACUUGUGGCUGGGGGUGAAAGGCCAAUCAAACCGGGAGAUAGCUGGUUCUCCCCGAAAGCUAUUUAGGUAGCGCCUCGUGAAUUCAUCUCCGGGGGUAGAGCACUGUUUCGGCAAGGGGGUCAUCCCGACUUACCAACCCGAUGCAAACUGCGAAUACCGGAGAAUGUUAUCACGGGAGACACACGGCGGGUGCUAACGUCCGUCGUGAAGAGGGAAACAACCCAGACCGCCAGCUAAGGUCCCAAAGUCAUGGUUAAGUGGGAAACGAUGUGGGAAGGCCCAGACAGCCAGGAUGUUGGCUUAGAAGCAGCCAUCAUUUAAAGAAAGCGUAAUAGCUCACUGGUCGAGUCGGCCUGCGCGGAAGAUGUAACGGGGCUAAACCAUGCACCGAAGCUGCGGCAGCGACGCUUAUGCGUUGUUGGGUAGGGGAGCGUUCUGUAAGCCUGUGAAGGUGUGCUGUGAGGCAUGCUGGAGGUAUCAGAAGUGCGAAUGCUGACAUAAGUAACGAUAAAGCGGGUGAAAAGCCCGCUCGCCGGAAGACCAAGGGUUCCUGUCCAACGUUAAUCGGGGCAGGGUGAGUCGACCCCUAAGGCGAGGCCGAAAGGCGUAGUCGAUGGGAAACAGGUUAAUAUUCCUGUACUUGGUGUUACUGCGAAGGGGGGACGGAGAAGGCUAUGUUGGCCGGGCGACGGUUGUCCCGGUUUAAGCGUGUAGGCUGGUUUUCCAGGCAAAUCCGGAAAAUCAAGGCUGAGGCGUGAUGACGAGGCACUACGGUGCUGAAGCAACAAAUGCCCUGCUUCCAGGAAAAGCCUCUAAGCAUCAGGUAACAUCAAAUCGUACCCCAAACCGACACAGGUGGUCAGGUAGAGAAUACCAAGGCGCUUGAGAGAACUCGGGUGAAGGAACUAGGCAAAAUGGUGCCGUAACUUCGGGAGAAGGCACGCUGAUAUGUAGGUGAAGUCCCUCGCGGAUGGAGCUGAAAUCAGUCGAAGAUACCAGCUGGCUGCAACUGUUUAUUAAAAACACAGCACUGUGCAAACACGAAAGUGGACGUAUACGGUGUGACGCCUGCCCGGUGCCGGAAGGUUAAUUGAUGGGGUCAGCGCAAGCGAAGCUCUUGAUCGAAGCCCCGGUAAACGGCGGCCGUAACUAUAACGGUCCUAAGGUAGCGAAAUUCCUUGUCGGGUAAGUUCCGACCUGCACGAAUGGCGUAAUGAUGGCCAGGCUGUCUCCACCCGAGACUCAGUGAAAUUGAACUCGCUGUGAAGAUGCAGUGUACCCGCGGCAAGACGGAAAGACCCCGUGAACCUUUACUAUAGCUUGACACUGAACAUUGAGCCUUGAUGUGUAGGAUAGGUGGGAGGCUUAGAAGUGUGGACGCCAGUCUGCAUGGAGCCGACCUUGAAAUACCACCCUUUAAUGUUUGAUGUUCUAACGUUGACCCGUAAUCCGGGUUGCGGACAGUGUCUGGUGGGUAGUUUGACUGGGGCGGUCUCCUCCUAAAGAGUAACGGAGGAGCACGAAGGUUGGCUAAUCCUGGUCGGACAUCAGGAGGUUAGUGCAAUGGCAUAAGCCAGCUUGACUGCGAGCGUGACGGCGCGAGCAGGUGCGAAAGCAGGUCAUAGUGAUCCGGUGGUUCUGAAUGGAAGGGCCAUCGCUCAACGGAUAAAAGGUACUCCGGGGAUAACAGGCUGAUACCGCCCAAGAGUUCAUAUCGACGGCGGUGUUUGGCACCUCGAUGUCGGCUCAUCACAUCCUGGGGCUGAAGUAGGUCCCAAGGGUAUGGCUGUUCGCCAUUUAAAGUGGUACGCGAGCUGGGUUUAGAACGUCGUGAGACAGUUCGGUCCCUAUCUGCCGUGGGCGCUGGAGAACUGAGGGGGGCUGCUCCUAGUACGAGAGGACCGGAGUGGACGCAUCACUGGUGUUCGGGUUGUCAUGCCAAUGGCACUGCCCGGUAGCUAAAUGCGGAAGAGAUAAGUGCUGAAAGCAUCUAAGCACGAAACUUGCC
Molecule: ribosomal RNA, 2567 nt
Filed under: Escherichia coli
Lineage: Bacteria; Pseudomonadati; Pseudomonadota; Gammaproteobacteria; Enterobacterales; Enterobacteriaceae
Description: partial 23S ribosomal RNA
Rfam family: Bacterial large subunit ribosomal RNA
Source: RNAcentral